This 428-nucleotide ribosomal RNA is filed under the name uncultured bacterium. RNAcentral's name for it is "partial 16S ribosomal RNA". It matches the Rfam family "Bacterial small subunit ribosomal RNA", at positions 354 to 796 of the family's 1533-position model. The record is from RNAcentral.
GUGGGGAAUCUUGCGCAAUGGGCGAAAGCCUGAUGCAGCAACGCCGCGUGAGGGAUGACGGCCUUCGGGUUGUACCUCUUUUAGCAGGGAAGAAGCGAAAGUGACGGUACCUGCAGAAAAAGCGCCGGCUAACUACGUGCCAGCAGCCGCGGUAAUACGUAGGGCGCAAGCGUUGUCCGGAAUUAUUGGGCGUAAAGAGCUCGUAGGCGGUUUGUCGCGUCUGCUGUGAAAACUGGAGGCUCAACCUCCAGCCUGCAGUGGGUACGGGCAGACUAGAGUGCGGUAGGGGAGAUUGGAAUUCCUGGUGUAGCGGUGGAAUGCGCAGAUAUCAGGAGGAACACCGAUGGCGAAGGCAGAUCUCUGGGCCGUAACUGACGCUGAGGAGCGAAAGCAUGGGGAGCGAACAGGAUUAGAUACCCUUGUAGUCC